UNUGACUUGAGUGCAGAAGGGGAGAGUGGAAUUCCAUGUGUAGCGGUGAAAUGCGUAGAUAUAUGGAGGAACACCAGUGGCGAAAGCGGCUCUCUGNUCUGUCACUGACGCUGAGGCUCGAAAGCGUGGGUAGCGAACAGGAUUAGAUACCCUGGUAGUNCACGCCGUAAACGAUGAGUGCUAGGUGUUAGGCCCUUUCCGGGGCUUAGUGUCGGAGCUAACGCAAUAAGCACUCCGCCUGGGGAGUACGACCGCAAGGUUGAAACUCAAAGGAAUUGACGGGGGCCCGCACAAGCGGUGGAGCAUGUGGUUUAAUUCGAAGCAACGCGAAGAACCUACCAGGUCUUGACAUCCCGAUGCUAUUCUUAGAGAUAGGAAGUUACUUCGGUACAUCGGAGACAGGUGGUGCAUGGUUGUCGUCAGCUCGUGUCGUGAGAUGUUGGGUUAAGUCCCGCAACGAGCGCAACCCUUAUUGUUAGUUGCCAUCAUUCAGUUGGGCACUCUAGCGAGACUGCCGGUAAUAAACCGGAGGAAGGUGGGGAUGACGUCAAAUCAUCAUGCCCCUUAUGACCUGGGCUACACACGUGCUACAAUGGCUGGUACAACGAGUCGCAAGCCGGUGACGGCAAGCUAAUCUCUUAAAGCCAGUCUCAGUUCGGAUUGUAGGCUGCAACUCGCCUACAUGAAGUCGGAAUCGCUAGUAAUCGCGGAUCAGCACGCCGCGGUGAAUACGUUCCCGGGCCUUGUACACACCGCCCGUCACACCACGAGAGUUUGUAACACCCGAA
This 788-nucleotide ribosomal RNA is filed under the name uncultured bacterium. Its description in RNAcentral is "bacterial SSU rRNA". It matches the Rfam family "Bacterial small subunit ribosomal RNA", at positions 636 to 1425 of the family's 1533-position model. The record is from RNAcentral.